Molecule: ribosomal RNA, 464 nt
Filed under: uncultured bacterium
Lineage: Bacteria
Description: partial 16S ribosomal RNA
Rfam family: Bacterial small subunit ribosomal RNA
Source: RNAcentral
CUACGGGCCGCAGCAGUGAGGAAUUUUGCGCAAUGGGGGAAACCCUGACGCAGCAACGCCGCGUGAGCGAAGAAGGCCUUCGGGUCGUAAAGCUCUGUCAAGUGGGAAAAAAAUUCUUUGAUGAACAGUCAAAGGACUUGAUGGUACCACUGGAGGAAGCACCGGCUAAGUCCGUGCCAGCAGCCGCGGUAAUACGGAGGGUGCAAGCGUUGGUCGGAAUUACUGGGCGUAAAGAGCGUGUAGGCGGUUUGACAAGUCAGAUGUGAAAGCCCCGGGCUCAACCCGGGAAGUGCAUUUGAAACUGUUUCACUAGAGUAUGGGAGAGGAGAUUGGAAUUCCUGGUGUAGAGGUGAAAUUCGUAGAUAUCAGGAGGAACACCCGUGGCGAAGGCGAUUCUCUGGACCAAUACUGACGCUGAGACGCGAAAGCGUGGGGAGCAAACAGGAUUAGAUACCCGAGUAGUC